RNAcentral lists this ribosomal RNA (438 nucleotides) under uncultured bacterium. RNAcentral's name for it is "bacterial SSU rRNA". It matches the Rfam family "Bacterial small subunit ribosomal RNA", at positions 958 to 1390 of the family's 1533-position model. The record is from RNAcentral.
AACGCGAAGAACCUUACCAGGGCUUGACAUGUGCGGAACCCUGCCGAAAGGCGGGGGUGCCACCCUUGGGGUGGAACCGCAACACAGGUGGUGCAUGGUUGUCGUCAGCUCGUGUCGUGAGAUGUUGGGUUAAGUCCCGCAACGAGCGCAACCCUUGACCUUAGUUGCCAGCAUUCAGUUGGGCACUCUAAGGUGACUGCCGGUGACAAACCGGAGGAAGGUGGGGAUGACGUCAAAUCAUCAUGCCCCUUAUGACCUGGGCUACACACGUGCUACAAUGGACGGUACAAAGGGCUGCGAAACCGCGAGGUGGAGCCAAUCCCAGAAAACCGUCCUCAGUUCGGAUUGCAGGCUGCAACUCGCCUGCAUGAAGCCGGAAUCGCUAGUAAUCGCGGUUCAGCAUGCCGCGGUGAAUACGUUCCCGGGCCUUGUACACAC